AUUGAACGCUUGCGGCAGGCCUAACACAUGCAAGUCGAGCGGCAGCACAGAGAGCUUGCUCUCGGGUGACGAGCGGCGGACGGGUGAGUAAUGUCUGGGAAACUGCCUGAUGGAGGGGGAUAACUACUGGAAACGGUAGCUAAUACCGCAUAACGUCGCAAGACCAAAGUGGGGGACCUUCGGGCCUCAUGCCAUCAGAUGUGCCCAGAUGGGAUUAGCUAGUAGGUGGGGUAACGGCUCACCUAGGCGACGAUCCCUAGCUGGUCUGAGAGGAUGACCAGCCACACUGGAACUGAGACACGGUCCAGACUCCUACGGGAGGCAGCAGUGGGGAAUAUUGCACAAUGGGCGCAAGCCUGAUGCAGCCAUGCCGCGUGUGUGAAGAAGGCCUUCGGGUUGUAGAGCACUUUCAGCGGGGAGGAAGGCGGUGAGGUUAAUAACCUCAUCGAUUGACGUUACCCGCAGAAGAAGCACCGGCUAACUCCGUGCCAGCAGCCGCGGUAAUACGGAGGGUGCAAGCGUUAAUCGGAAUUACUGGGCGUAAAGCGCACGCAGGCGGUCUGUCAAGUCGGAUGUGAAAUCCCCGGGCUCAACCUGGGAACUGCAUUCGAAACUGGCAGGCUAGAGUCUUGUAGAGGGGGGUAGAAUUCCAGGUGUAGCGGUGAAAUGCGUAGAGAUCUGGAGGAAUACCGGUGGCGAAGGCGGCCCCCUGGACAAAGACUGACGCUCAGGUGCGAAAGCGUGGGGAGCAAACAGGAUUAGAUACCCUGGUAGUCCACGCCGUAAACGAUGUCGAUUUGGAGGUUGUGCCCUUGAGGCGUGGCUUCCGGAGCUAACGCGUUAAAUCGACCGCCUGGGGAGUACGGCCGCAAGGUUAAAACUCAAAUGAAUUGACGGGGGCCCGCACAAGCGGUGGAGCAUGUGGUUUAAUUCGAUGCAACGCGAAGAACCUUACCUGGUCUUGACAUCCACAGAACUUUCCAGAGAUGGAUUGGUGCCUUCGGGAACUGUGAGACAGGUGCUGCAUGGCUGUCGUCAGCUCGUGUUGUGAAAUGUUGGGUUAAGUCCCGCAACGAGCGCAACCCUUAUCCUUUGUUGCCAGCGGUCCGGCCGGGAACUCAAAGGAGACUGCCAGUGAUAAACUGGAGGAAGGUGGGGAUGACGUCAAGUCAUCAUGGCCCUUACGACCAGGGCUACACACGUGCUACAAUGGCAUAUACAAAGAGAAGCGACCUCGCGAGAGCAAGCGGACCUCAUAAAGUAUGUCGUAGUCCGGAUUGGAGUCUGCAACUCGACUCCAUGAAGUCGGAAUCGCUAGUAAUCGUAGAUCAGAAUGCUACGGUGAAUACGUUCCCGGGCAU
This 1361-nucleotide ribosomal RNA is filed under the name uncultured bacterium. RNAcentral describes it as "bacterial SSU rRNA". It matches the Rfam family "Bacterial small subunit ribosomal RNA", at positions 28 to 1381 of the family's 1533-position model. The record is from RNAcentral.